RNAcentral lists this ribosomal RNA (1415 nucleotides) under uncultured organism. Its description in RNAcentral is "SSU rRNA". It matches the Rfam family "Bacterial small subunit ribosomal RNA". The record is from RNAcentral.
CGCUGGCGGCGCGCCUAACACAUGCAAGUCGAACGAGAGAUGAGGAGCUUGCUCUUCAAAUCGAGUGGCGAACGGGUGAGUAACGCGUGAGGAACCUGCCUCAAAGAGGGGGACAACAGUUGGAAACGACUGCUAAUACCACAUAAGCCCACGGCUCGGCAUCGAGCAGAGGGAAAAGGAGCGAUCCGCUUUGAGAUGGCCUCGCGUCCGAUUAGCUAGUUGGUGAGGUAAUGGCCCACCAAGGCGACGAUCGGUAGCCGGACUGAGAGGUUGAACGGCCACAUUGGGACUGAGACACGGCCCAGACUCCUACGGGAGGCAGCAGUGGGGAAUAUUGCACAAUGGGGGAAACCCUGAUGCAGCGACGCCGCGUGGAGGAAGAAGGUCUUCGGAUUGUAAACUCCUGUUGUUGAGGAAGAUAAUGACGGUACUCAACAAGGAAGUGACGGCUAACUACGUGCCAGCAGCCGCGGUAAAACGUAGGUCACAAGCGUUGUCCGGAAUUACUGGGUGUAAAGGGAGCGCAGGCGGGAGAACAAGUUGGAAGUGAAAUCCAUGGGCUCAACCCAUGAACUGCUUUCAAAACUGUUUUUCUUGAGUAGUGCAGAGGUAGGCGGAAUUCCCGGUGUAGCGGUGGAAUGCGUAGAUAUCGGGAGGAACACCAGUGGCGAAGGCGGCCUACUGGGCACCAACUGACGCUGAGGCUCGAAAGUGUGGGUAGCAAACAGGAUUAGAUACCCUGGUAGUCCACACCGUAAACGAUGAUUACUAGGUGUUGGAGGAUUGACCCCUUCAGUGCCGCAGUUAACACAAUAAGUAAUCCACCUGGGGAGUACGACCGCAAGGUUGAAACUCAAAGGAAUUGACGGGGGCCCGCACAAGCAGUGGAGUAUGUGGUUUAAUUCGACGCAACGCGAAGAACCUUACCAAGUCUUGACAUCCCUUGACGAUGCUGGAAACAGUAUUUCUCUUCGGAGCAAGGAGACAGGUGGUGCAUGGUUGUCGUCAGCUCGUGUCGUGAGAUGUUGGGUUAAGUCCCGCAACGAGCGCAACCCUUAUGGUCAGUUACUACGCAAGAGGACUCUGGCCAGACUGCCGUUGACAAAACGGAGGAAGGUGGGGAUGACGUCAAAUCAUCAUGCCCUUUAUGACUUGGGCUACACACGUACUACAAUGGCGUUAAACAAAGAGAAGCAAGACCGCGAGGUGGAGCAAAACUCAGAAACAACGUCCCAGUUCGGACUGCAGGCUGCAACUCGCCUGCACGAAGUCGGAAUUGCUAGUAAUCGUGGAUCAGCAUGCCACGGUGAAUACGUUCCCGGGCCUUGCACACACCGCCCGUCACACCAUGAGAGCCGGGGGGACCCGAAGUCGGUAAUGUAACCGCAAGGAGGACGCCGCCGAAGGUAAAACUC